RNAcentral lists this ribosomal RNA (537 nucleotides) under Triticum aestivum (bread wheat). RNAcentral describes it as "partial small subunit ribosomal RNA". Lineage: Eukaryota; Viridiplantae; Streptophyta; Magnoliopsida; Poales; Poaceae. The record is from RNAcentral.
AUGUACACGGGCCAGUCCGUCCACUGCUGCCGUCGCGCUGUUGUCGGCAUCGGCAACGUGUUCCCGCUCGCCUCGCUGCCUGAGGGCGCCAUCGCCUGGGACGUCGAGCAGCACGUCGGCGACCGCGGUGCCCUCGCCCGCGCCUCGGGCGACUACGCCAUCGUCGUCAGCCACAACUCCGACAACGGCGAAGAAGGUGGUGCAGAGCGGCUAGCUGCAGGGCGAUGGUGGGGCAGGUGGCCGGCGGCGGGAGGAUGGAAAAGCCGCUGCUCAAGGCGGGAGUUCACUAGUUCAGGGUGCUGUAGGGCUGCCGGUGAUGCGCGGCGUGCUGCUAGGAGGACCACCGAAGCCCGCAGGCCAGGCUCGCCUCCGCCCCGCCCGGCGAUGACAACACCAUGGGCGCCCUCCUCUUAUCGGGCGUGGAGGACCAAGGGAGGCGCGGAUCCGCGGCGGCCCGUGCUUUGCCCCGUCCCCGACGUCGACGGCCUCCGCGAGCCGCCCGUCCUGCCGGUGGUGACGCGGCCGUACUCUGCAUGA